Molecule: ribosomal RNA, 449 nt
Filed under: uncultured bacterium
Lineage: Bacteria
Description: partial 16S ribosomal RNA
Rfam family: Bacterial small subunit ribosomal RNA
Source: RNAcentral
AACGAACGCUGGCGGCAUGCCUAACACAUGCAAGUCGAACGAACCCUUCGGGGUGAGUGGCGCACGGGUGCGUAACACGUGGGAACCUGCCCUUAGGUUCGGAAUAACACAGAGAAAUUUGUGCUAAUACCGGAUAAUGUCUUCGGACCAAAGAUUUAUCGCCUUUGGAUGGGCCCGCGUAGGAUUAGCUAGUUGGUGAGGUAAAGGCUCACCAAGGCGACGAUCCUUAGCUGGUCUUAGAGGAUGAUCAGCCACACUGGGACUGAGACACGGCCCAGACUCCUACGGGAGGCAGCAGUGGGGAAUAUUGGACAAUGGGCGAAAGCCUGAUCCAGCAAUGCCGCGUGAGUGAUGAAGGCCUUAGGGUUGUAAAGCUCUUUUACUGGGGAUGAUAAUGACAGUACCCAGAGAAUAAGCCCCGGCUAACUCCGUGCCAGCCGCCGCAGUAA